Long non-coding RNA from Salvia hispanica, 633 nucleotides. RefSeq lists it as uncharacterized. Lineage: Eukaryota; Viridiplantae; Streptophyta; Magnoliopsida; Lamiales; Lamiaceae. The record is from RefSeq and is a predicted model, not a curated record.
UAGAGAAAGGUUUGGGAAUAGAAAUAAAAUUAGAGGGAUCUCUCCCUUUCACCCUCUACGUCCCUCUCUAUAAUCUUCACCACAGCCUUGUUCUCUCUCCGUUCAGCUGCAUACCGGCACAUCGAAAUCGCCGGCGAAGUCACGGGAAAGCCGAAAGCGCACACAGCUUACCCAAGUCCCAAUUCCCAUAAGUUUAUCUCCAUGUCAGGAAUUGAGAUUCAAACCCACAUCAACCUAAUAUUCAAAAUAGAUGUUAUGGAAGUAGACUCCUUUCAACCUCCAUAGCCAAGAACUUGCUCCCUCAUUUAUUCGGCUUGUUCGUCGGCAAUCGGAGAUUUAAUCGCAUAAAACAUGGCAAAUCAAUACGCAAAUCAAGCAAAGGAGCCUAUCGUGAAAAUCGAAGCGUCCAGGUGAAAUAGCCUCAUCAUGGUCAUAAGCCUACGAGGUUAAGUGAUAGAGUUUGUAUCAGAGUAGCAUAUCAGUUACAUCCUUGAUGAAUCACUAGUCAAUUGUGGAAGUCUAUAACAUGGUGGCAUGUUUCUGUAAAGCUUUUGAUAGUAUAAUUCCACUGCAAAGUUCGUUAUGUAAUAGUUGGUGAAGUAUAUUUUAUUAAACAAUUAAAUAUAUAAUUUU